This 1380-nucleotide long non-coding RNA is filed under the name Oncorhynchus mykiss (rainbow trout). Its description in RNAcentral is "lncRNA (ENSOMYG00000076329.1)". Lineage: Eukaryota; Metazoa; Chordata; Actinopteri; Salmoniformes; Salmonidae. The record is from RNAcentral.
GACCAAGGUGGAAGGGAUAUGUUGGAGGACUGGGGGAGGGAGGCAAGAGCUCUCCCUGUUCCGUAAUUUAAUGUCAGCAUAAUUUCAGUAGUUUAUCAACGUAGGCUACAGUACAGUACUUUUUUGGUACAGUGUUUGUGCGUUGACUGACAACAACAUUCCGAAACCACGAGCAGUCUACCGGACCUUUUACCAAUGCCUUUGAAAAGCAUACCUCUUAUGCUUUGCAGCGUACUACAAGCUGUAAUAGCAGGGACAUGAUAUGACAUGCCUUUGAUAUGAAGAAACUACACCAUAUUUGUUGCCAAUGUUUUUUUUUGUAUCCUUUUAGCCAGAAAUAACACAUGUCUAUAUCAAAAGCAAAAACAAUUAUGUUCCUAAUUAUUCCUGAAGUGUCCUUCAUGUUAAAACCAAAUGUUGAUGAAUUAAAACCAAUGUCACUGAACACCAGAGACAAGGUUCUCUUAUUUGGUAAUAACACCUUCUGCAUGUAGGGGCAGAUAUCAUUUACAGAAGUAGCCUAUUGCUACCACUAUUAUUAUCAUUAUUUUGCAGUAAUAGGUCUACACCAGUUUGUUUCAUUAAUAACUAUUUCCAGAGUUAUUUCAAAUCUGAAAAGUAUACAUCUGCAGACUCUGUGUGUUUGCACCUGUUUGUGAAUGAUUAUGAUGUUGGUGGCUUUCCAAAAUGAGAAGCCAGUUUGGGGCUGGGAGCCCUCAGCUACUUCCUGUCUGAGACAAACAUGCUUAACCAAUCAGCAGGGGUCUCUGGGAUGCCACAUGAAAGACAUGGAAGAGCGUGUGCUUUUACUCUGUAAUCUCUGUGACUGGAACUGUGUGUGUCUGGAUCUAAUUUCUGAAGAUCAGGCUGUUCCCUUCUGUCACGACUUCCGCCGAGUUGGUGCCUCUCCAUGUUCGGGCGGCGUUCGGCAGUCGUCGUCACCGGCUUUCUAGCUGCCACCGAUCCACAUUUCUUUUUCCAUUUGUUAUGUCUUGAUUGUAUACACCUGGUUCCCAUUACGUUAUUAUUAUUUCCCUAUUUAACCAUCUAGUUCUCAUUAUGUUUUGUGCGUGAUUGUUCCUGUUUUGUGUUAGGCUUGUGUGUUAGGGUUUGUUAUCCCUACGUGGAUUUAUUGUACUGUUUACUUUUCCAGAGUAAAGUACGUUAUUUUUACUCAGUUCUGUUUCCUGCGCUUGACUCCGUCCUCACCUAUACACCGCUGACGCUGACACCUUCCUCCGGAAAAACAACACAUUUUGCUUUAAUUCAGCAGUGAAAAUAACUGUUGAUGAUCAGUGUUAGACUGACAUCAAGGGCAAAGAUCUGGUUGUAUGUAAACAAAAAAAAGUAUGUAAUUCUGUGCUGAUAUAGGAUCAGAUU